CAGCCGCCGCGGUAAUACGAAGGGUGCAAGCGUUAAUCGGAAUUACUGGGCGUAAAGCGUGCGUAGGCGGUUUGUUAAGUCUGUUGUGAAAUCCCCGGGCUCAACCUGGGAAUGGCAAUGGAUACUGGCAAGCUAGAGUGUGUCAGAGGAUGGUGGAAUUCCCGGUGUAGCGGUGAAAUGCGUAGAGAUCGGGAGGAACAUCAGUGGCGAAGGCGGCCAUCUGGGACAACACUGACGCUGAGGCACGAAAGCGUGGGGAGCAAACAGGAUUAGAUACCCCAGUAGUCCCUGUCUCUUAUAU
This 301-nucleotide ribosomal RNA is filed under the name uncultured bacterium. RNAcentral describes it as "partial 16S ribosomal RNA". It matches the Rfam family "Bacterial small subunit ribosomal RNA", at positions 509 to 809 of the family's 1533-position model. The record is from RNAcentral.